Molecule: non-coding RNA, 71 nt
Organism: Araneus ventricosus
Lineage: Eukaryota; Metazoa; Arthropoda; Arachnida; Araneae; Araneidae
Source: the annotation of a GenBank genome assembly
UCUCCCGGCGGGAAUCGAACCCGGUCUCCUGCGUGACAGGCGGGAUACUCACCCCACUAUACUACUGAGAC